UUUUGCUACUAAGAGGUAUUUAGGUUCAUUUGAACUGUUUGCAAUCGGUCCUAGGAUAUCUACAGAUAAUACGUCAGCUAGGCAAUGUGCUUCUACAAAUGAAAAUUCUACCGGUUUCUUUAUUCCAUAGGAUUUGUUUGAUUUACAUGCUAGGCAGGCACUGGUCAGGUAUCGAGCAUAAUGUUUUGAAUUUGAUGAAUAAUAAAAUCUUCGGAAAAUUUGGGUCAACUUGUUGGCACCAACAUGUCCAAAAAUAUCAUGUAUAUACAUCAUCGUGUCUGCGAAUAGUUCAUCGGGAAGGACAGGUACGAUUGAGUCAUCCUUAUAUCUGAACAUUAGGAAUUCUCUACCAUUGAUUUCGUGUAUCUCGUAUCUUUUAGCUAAUUGUUCUUUUGCAAGACGUUCUCUUUUUGUGAGUUCUGAGCCGGGUGUUCUUAACUUACGUGUAAUUUUCAUGCAAUUCGGAUCUCUCUUCUGCAUAACAUCGAUUUUGUCUAAACUGCUGAGCAGUUUGUCAACAAUUUUUUCUUGAUGUGUGUCUACUUGUGUUACGAAAUUGAUAACGUUGAUGCUGUUCAAAGUCAAUUCAGGAGCUUGAAUUCCAAACCACCGUUUAUGCUUUUUUCGCAAAUCAUAUAUCAAGUUGUAACAAUUGAGUUGAGUGAUCCAUAUAGCAGCUUUCCGGUGUACUUCGGCUAUGACCUCGAAUUGUGAAACAAUUGAUUUCAAAUCACUUCUAACAUGGAUGGUCCUUCCAUGUAGCCAAAGCUGCAACUUUUUGAUUGUUUUUGCAAGAUUGUACAUUUCUCGUUCUAUGAGAGUAUAUGACUUCUGGUGUUCUUUGAAUGAAAAACUAGAAAACAUUACUAUUUCGUCUUGACCUUCGAAUGUUUGGUAUAAAACUGCAUUCAUAGCAUCAGGUGAAGUAUAGGUAUCGAGCCAUAGGUCAAUUCCGUUUCGGGGGGAUUUUAGAGCAAAAUUUUCCGUGUAUUUUUCUUUAAGUAAUUCAAAAGCUUCUUCCUGCUCCUUGCCCCAGUGAAAUGUUACGCCUUUUUCCGUCAACUUGUAUAAAUUACGUAGUAUCUGCUGAUAGCAGGGGAUAAACCGCCUAUAGAGUCCGGUUAACCCUAUUAAUUCAAGCACUUCUGUUGCAUUCUUUAAUUCAAACUUACCGGUUUUCUUAUUAGUGUGCUUUUCGAUAUACUCCAUGAAUUUGGCAAUUUUCUUCGAUUGUUUCUUGAUAAUGCCAGCUUCUAAAUCGAAACCUAGAUGGUCGAUUUGUUUACGGAAAAAUGUCGAUUUAGUUGCGUUCAACUUCAGUCCAUUCGCUCUUAAUUUCUUGAAUGUGUCUUCUAAUAAUGAUAACAUUUCUUCGAAAGUUUUACAUCGGAGUAGAAUAUCGUCGACGUACUUGGUUAGGCCAUCUUUGUCUGGUAUUACGUGGUUAAUGAGUUUUACGAAAUAUGCUGAAGAUAUUUUGAGUCCAUACGGUAAACGUAUGAAUUGGUAGACACGCCCAUCGAUUUGGAAAGCGCAAUAUUUACGAAAAGAUUCUUCGAGCACGAUUUGCCAGAAACCAGCAACGAAAUCUAACGAACUGAAAAACUUGGCUUCUGGGUAUUCUGUCCGGUAUCUUUAACGCCAUCGGGUAAAGAGUAGAAUCUGCGAGCGGUGUCAGCUCGGUUCAAAAUGGCAUACAUUUCGUCAACAUACUGCGAUCCCAUCGUAACGUUGUUAAUUGCAAGUUUAUCUGCAUAUUCGUGGAAUUGUAGAAUUGGGAUACUUUCGAUGUCGUGUUCGGGGGUACGAUUAUAUAUUCUGAGGUGGUUACCACUUGUUUGUUCGCCAUCAUGCAUUGAACUGGUUCGUGUAAUUCUAAAAAGUCAAGCUCGCUUGAAUGUUCCCGUAUCAAUCUUAGCGCUGUUUCUUCAGAUAUAACGUUAAGGACUGCCCCAGUGUCAAGUUGGGUUGGGAAGUCCGUUUCACCAAUUUGGAGAUUGACUACGCACGUUUGUGGCAUCAUCCGUCGCUGUAUUAAUUGGGAAACUACCGAGGGAGUUUCAUCGUUGC
Planococcus citri (citrus mealybug) is the source of this 2070-nucleotide long non-coding RNA. RefSeq lists it as uncharacterized. The record is from RefSeq and is a predicted model, not a curated record. Lineage: Eukaryota; Metazoa; Arthropoda; Insecta; Hemiptera; Pseudococcidae. The transcript has 3 exons.